UUGCGCAAUGGGCGAAAGCCUGACGCAGCGACGCCGCGUGUGUGAGGAAGGCCUCAGGGUCGUAAACCCCUGUCAGGUGGGACGAACCACGGAUCGGUCAAUACCCGGUCCGCCUGACGGUACCACCAGAGGAAGCUCCGGCUAACUCCGUGCCAGCAGCCGCGGUAAUACGGAGGGAGCUAGCGUUGUUCGGAAUUACUGGGCGUAAAGGGUCCGUAGGCGGUCGGGUAAGUCGAGUGUGAAAUUCCGGGGCUCAACCCCGCGAACUGCAUUCGAUACUGCUCGACUAGAGAGAGGUAGGGGCGAGUGGAAUUCCCGGUGUAGCGGUGGAAUGCGUAGAUAUCGGGAAGAACACCGGUGGCGAAGGCGGCUCGCUGGGCCUUUUCUGACGCUGAAGCGCGAAAGCGUGGGGAGCAAACAGGAUUAGAUACCCUGGUAGUCCACGCCGUAAACGAUGGGUACUAGGUGUUGGGAGGAUUGACCCUCUCAGUGCCGACGCUAACGCAUUAAGUACCCCGCCUGGGGAGUACGGCCGCAAGGCUGAAACUCAAAGGAAUUGACGG
RNAcentral lists this ribosomal RNA (563 nucleotides) under uncultured Actinomycetes bacterium. RNAcentral's name for it is "bacterial SSU rRNA". It matches the Rfam family "Bacterial small subunit ribosomal RNA", at positions 364 to 916 of the family's 1533-position model. The record is from RNAcentral. Lineage: Bacteria; Bacillati; Actinomycetota; Actinomycetes.